This 446-nucleotide ribosomal RNA is filed under the name Nematoda environmental sample. RNAcentral's name for it is "SSU rRNA". It matches the Rfam family "Eukaryotic small subunit ribosomal RNA", at positions 432 to 886 of the family's 1831-position model. Lineage: Eukaryota; Metazoa; Nematoda. The record is from RNAcentral.
GCGCGCAAUUACCCACUCUCAGAAUGAGGAGGUAGUGACGAGAAAUAACGAGACUGUUCUCUUUGAGGCCAGUCAUCGGAAUGGGUACAAUCUAAACCCUUUAACGAGUAUCUAUGAGAGGGCAAGUCUGGUGCCAGCAGCCGCGGUAAUUCCAGCUCUCAAAAUGCAUAAAAUUAUUGCUGCGGUUAAAAAGCUCGUAGUUGGAUCUGUGUCGCGAGGUUGGGUCCGUCUGUUAGGCGUGUACUCAAUUCUCCGACUUUUUGCUGGUUUUCCUGGCAUGGUUUUAAUCGAUUGGGUCAGGUGGCUGGCGAUUUUACUUUGAACAAAUCAGAGUGCUCAACACAGGCGUUUCGCUUGAAUGUUUUUGCAUGGAAUAAUAGAAAAGGAUUUCGGUCCUAUUUUAUUGGUUUUAUAGGCUGAAAUAAUGGUUAACAGAGACAAACGGG